UAAUAGUUUUAUCCUGGCUACAAAUUUGAUGCUUAAAAAAAAGUAUGCAUGGUAUCUUUGAAAGUUAUUUUUAUUAUAUUAUUUAAAAAAUUUUUUAUAACUCGCAGCAUAAAAUAUUAAACAAUUGUUUCAAGACUGAUUUAAUUUUAUAACUAGGUUUGGCUAAACAUUGUGCCAGCAGCCGCGGUUAUACUCUCAAACCAAGUCAAAUUUCUUCAGUAUGUAAAAAUUUUAACAAACUAAUUUUUGAUAUAAACGAAAAGUAAAAUUUAUUGUUUUUAUUUUAAACAUUACUUUAGUAAAAAAAAAUCGAUUUAAGAAAGCUUUAACAAAAACUAGGAUUAGAUACCCUACUAUUUCAGCUUUAACAAACAUACUAAAAUAUUAAAAGUUAUGGUCUCUAAAUUUAAAGGAUUUGGCGGUAAUUUAGUCCAGUUAGAGGAACCUGUUUUAUAAACGAUAUACCACGCAAAAUCUUACCUAUUUUCAGUUUGUAUACCGUCAUUAUUAGAUAACUUUUAAAAAAAAAGUUAUUACAAUAAGCAUAAUUUAAUAUAUUAGAUCAAGGUGCAGCGUAUAAAUAGGAACUUAAUGGGUUACAAUAAAUUUUAUUUAUUACAAAUAUUUUCUUGAAAAAGUUUAUUGAAGGAGGAUUUAAUAGUAAAACUAAUUUAAUAAGUUAGUUUGAUAAAGGACCUAAAUUGUGUACAUAUCGCCCGUCACUUUCAUUACUAAAUGAAAUAAGUCGUAACAUAGUAGGUGUACUGGAAAGUGCGCCUGGUUUUAA
RNAcentral lists this non-coding RNA (787 nucleotides) under Neotrypaea harmandi. The record is from RNAcentral. Lineage: Eukaryota; Metazoa; Arthropoda; Malacostraca; Decapoda; Callianassidae.